UACGAAGGGGGCUAGCGUUGCUCGGAAUCACUGGGCGUAAAGCGCACGUAGGCGGAUUGUUAAGUCAGGGGGGAAAUCCUGGAGCUCAACUCCAGAACUGCCUUUGAUACUGGCGAUCUUGAGUCCGGGAGAGGUGAGUGGAACUCCGAGUGUAGAGGUGAAAUUCGUAGAUAUUCGGAAGAACACCAGUGGCGAAGGCGGCUCACUGGCCCGGUACUGACGCUGAUGUGCGAAAGCGUGGGGAGCAAACAGG
RNAcentral lists this ribosomal RNA (253 nucleotides) under uncultured bacterium. RNAcentral's name for it is "partial 16S ribosomal RNA". It matches the Rfam family "Bacterial small subunit ribosomal RNA", at positions 524 to 776 of the family's 1533-position model. The record is from RNAcentral.